GGGGAAUUAGCUCAGAUGGUAGAGCGCUCGCUUAGCAUGCGAGAGGUAGGGGGAUCGAUGCCCCCAUUCUCCA
Coccomyxa subellipsoidea C-169 is the source of this 73-nucleotide transfer RNA. It matches the Rfam family "tRNA". Rfam says of the family: Transfer RNA (tRNA) molecules are approximately 80 nucleotides in length. Their secondary structure includes four short double-helical elements and three loops (D, anti-codon, and T loops). The record is from Rfam. NCBI's taxonomy places the organism in Eukaryota, Viridiplantae, Chlorophyta, Trebouxiophyceae, Coccomyxaceae.